This 433-nucleotide ribosomal RNA is filed under the name uncultured bacterium. Its description in RNAcentral is "partial 16S ribosomal RNA". It matches the Rfam family "Bacterial small subunit ribosomal RNA", at positions 29 to 507 of the family's 1533-position model. The record is from RNAcentral.
AACGAACGCUGGCGGCAGGCCUAACACAUGCGAGUCGAGCGAGGACUUCGGUUCUAGCGGCGGACGGGUGAGUAACGCGUGGGAAUGUGCCCUUCUCUACGGAAUAGCCCUGGGAAACUGGAAGUAAUACCGUAUACGCCCUAUUGGGGAAAGAUUUAUCGGUGAAGGAUAGGCCCGGGUUGGAUUAGGUAGUUGGUGGGGUAAUGGCCUACAAAGCCGAAGAUCCAUAGCUGGUUUGAGAGGAUGAUCAGCCACGCUGGAACUGAGACACGGCCCAGACUCCUACGGGAAGCAGCAGUGGGGAAUCUGAGACAAUGGGGGCAACCCUGAUCUAGCCAUGCCGCGUGAGUGAUGAAGGCCUUAGGGUUGUAAAGCUCUUUCAGCUGGGAAGAUAAUGACGGUACCAGCAGAAGAAGCCCCGGCUAACUCCGUG